UACGUAGGUGACAAGCGUUGUCCGGAUUUACUGGGCGUAAAGCGCGCGUAGGCGGACUAUUAAGUCAGGGGUGAAAUCCUGGGGCUCAACCUCAGAAUAGCCUUCGAUACUGGCGGUCUCGAGUGCGGGAGAGGUGAGUGGAAUUCCCAGUGUAGAGGUGAAAUUCGUAGAUAUUGGGAAGAACACCAGUGGCGAAGGCGGCUCACUGGCCCGCAACUGACGCUGAGGUGCGAAAGCUAGGGGAGCAAACAGG
This 253-nucleotide unclassified non-coding RNA is filed under the name uncultured Alphaproteobacteria bacterium. RNAcentral describes it as "contains 16S-23S intergenic spacer region". It matches the Rfam family "Bacterial small subunit ribosomal RNA", at positions 524 to 776 of the family's 1533-position model. The record is from RNAcentral. Lineage: Bacteria; Pseudomonadati; Pseudomonadota; Alphaproteobacteria.